This is a long non-coding RNA of Syngnathoides biaculeatus (alligator pipefish), 787 nucleotides long. RefSeq lists it as uncharacterized. The transcript is spliced from 3 exons. The record is from RefSeq and is a predicted model, not a curated record. NCBI's taxonomy places the organism in Eukaryota, Metazoa, Chordata, Actinopteri, Syngnathiformes, Syngnathidae.
GACGGCUCAUGCGUCAUUCCAGUGACACUGGAGGCUGCUCGCCAGGCCGACAUGUGGUCCCACACAUGGAUUUCAUCAUUCUGGAACCGACGUGCUGGGAACAAAAGAAAGAAGAAGAAGAAAGAAAGAGAGAUCUUUGGUGCUUGAACAUAGAAGAAGUGUGAGUUCUAAUCAAGCCAAUGGAGAGAAGCGAGUCCAGAAAGAAAACCUGCGCUUACCUGUACUGCAGUGUAUAAAAACGCACAUUUCUACACAUUCGCCAGGCCUCCAACUGCUGGAACCACUGGCAGGCUGGCAAGGGCCUCCGGGGCGGCGCAUACCGUGGGGCCAGAUGGCAAAGACCCCAACCCCAAAAAAUCCAGAGAGUUGAGAAAGUGAAAAAAAAAAAAGUUUUAAGCAAGAUCUCAAAAAUUCAGUACCCUACUCUUCUCAUUCUUAGCAAACGUUUUCAGCACUUACCUUCAGACACAAACAUAUUUAAAAACAAAACACGACAGUGACUUUGGGGGACUUUGAGUCAAGGCAUUUGAGUAUUACUGCAUCUUAUUUGGGGACCUUCUCCGCCUCUUUUUCGUCUCUGUUCAGUGCUCACCGGCCUGUUGCGACACCGAGUGGUGCUAUACUUGAAAUGGAGAAUUUCCUGUCUUGAAAGGCCCAUAAAAAUGCUCAAAUUUGAUACGAAAUGAUAGAUAUUUGGGUAUGGCUCUUCAUUUUGAACGAUCUGUGCGAUAAAAGCUCUCGUGUGUGUCUGCAUGCGUGUGUGUGUGUAUUUUCAUGUCCCCUUUGA